Molecule: ribosomal RNA, 402 nt
Filed under: uncultured Hyphomicrobium sp.
Lineage: Bacteria; Pseudomonadati; Pseudomonadota; Alphaproteobacteria; Hyphomicrobiales; Hyphomicrobiaceae
Description: bacterial SSU rRNA
Rfam family: Bacterial small subunit ribosomal RNA
Source: RNAcentral
AGUGGGGAAUCUUGGACAAUGGGCGCAAGCCUGAUCCAGCCAUGCCGCGUGAGUGACGAAGGCCUUAGGGUUGUAAAGCUCUUUUGCCGGGGACGAUAAUGACGGUACCCGGAGAAUAAGUCCCGGCUAACUUCGUGCCAGCAGCCGCGGUAAUACGAAGGGGACUAGCGUUGUUCGGAAUUACUGGGCGUAAAGCGCACGUAGGCGGAUGUGUCAGUCAGAGGUGAAAUCCCGGAGCUCAACUUCGGAACUGCCUUUGAUACAGCACGUCUUGAAUCCGGUAGAGGUGGGUGGAAUUCCUAGUGUAGAGGUGAAAUUCGUAGAUAUUAGGAAGAACACCGGUGGCGAAGGCGGCCCACUGGACCGGUAUUGACGCUGAGGUGCGAAAGCGUGGGGAGCAAA